Non-coding RNA from Lupinus angustifolius (narrow-leaved blue lupine), 123 nucleotides. Lineage: Eukaryota; Viridiplantae; Streptophyta; Magnoliopsida; Fabales; Fabaceae. The record is from Rfam.
ACCAAUUCCGGGGGAUAUUAUGUUCCUCCUGGAUAAUGGCUCGGACGCUAUAUUUAGAUGUGGUCAUCCUGAUUUAUGGUUUCUUUACAAUACCAUUUGGUCUUGGAAACGCCACCAACAUUC